Rhincodon typus (whale shark) is the source of this 1449-nucleotide long non-coding RNA. RefSeq lists it as uncharacterized. The record is from RefSeq and is a predicted model, not a curated record. The transcript has 2 exons. NCBI's taxonomy places the organism in Eukaryota, Metazoa, Chordata, Chondrichthyes, Orectolobiformes, Rhincodontidae.
UUCUGAAUGAGCCUACCAUGGGGAACCAUCCACUGUUUACCCAUUGCUUUCAAUUUUUUUCUUCUUCAAUCUUGGACCCAUAUGAAUAUUUUAAACCCCUUAUGAAGAUUUCCAUUGUCAUUGUCUCACCACCAAGACUCAAAAGGUUCAAUCCCCUGAUCAUCGGUUUUCCCAAUUCCAACUCUAACUUUGUGACAUAACCGCAGGCUAUCCCAUGAACUGUAAUUACUUCACAUUUGUUUAUCAGACUCUCAAAUGCAGAUUCUUUCAAUUAAUCUUUUAGAAAUUAAAAUAUAAAUCAUUCGAUUAAACACCGUAACAACAUCAUCUCCAGCUGCAAACUCCAUCCCUCUCUCUGGCAGUCUUGAAAUUAAAUCAGCUUGUUUGCAACCUUGGUGUCAAACUUGAUACUGAAAUGUGUUUCCAAUCAGAUGUAUUUGUGCCAUUACCCUAUCUAGCCUGACUCAACUCAUCUGCUGCUGAAACCCUCAUUUCUGCUUUUGAACUUGAUUAUUUCAAUGCAUUUCUUGCUGCUCUCUCACCUUUUACUCUCUAUAAAAUAGAAAUCAAACUGCCCUUAACUCAUUCCAAAUCCUAUCCCCCCCCCACAUCACCCCAAUGGUUGCUGAGCUACAUUGACUCCUGAUCAAUUAAUGUUCGGAUUUUAAAAUUCUCUUAUCUCCAAAUUCCCAACUCUAAUCUCCUCCAGUCCCAUAAUCUCGGAAAUAUCUGCUCCUCUAAUUCUGGCCUCUUGAAUCACCAUGCUUUAAUUGCACCUUACCUAUCUAAGCUCAAAACUCUGAAAUCAUAGAAAAAUGGACUUGUGACAGUGCAGAAGGCCAUUCAACUACAUUUGUCCAUACUUGGAAGGAACAGUUCACUUACAGCCACUCCCCUGCCUUCUUCAUACAGGUCCGCACUUUCUUUCAGAUAACAAUCCAUUUCUCUCAUUAAUUCCUCAAAUGAAUCUGCCUUCAUCACACACACAGACAGCAUAUUCCACAUCCAAAUCACUUCCUCGGUGAAAAAGAUUUCUACAUGUCAUCAUUGUUUUUGACAUAAAGAGAUGUGAAGCUUGAAAAUCCAAACCUGAAAAAUGUACUUGCAUUGUAUUCUUGAAUAAUGUGUGUGUGUGUGUGUGUGUGUUUGUAUUUUGAUGCAUUUAUGUCACUUACUGCUUUAGCUUGCACCAAGGGAAAAAGCCAGUUUGAACUACAAUCAAAAACUGAAAGAAAAAUUCCAACAUCAUCCUCACAUCAAACGUAUCGCCCGUCACCGCCAUUUGCCAAAAAUGAUUUACAAUCAGUCGAAGGAACUUCGUAUCAUGAGGGAAGCUCGCCGCAGAAAGGAACUGAAUCGCCGCCAGCACAGAAAGCCAGGCUCUCUGCCAUUGGUCUCCGAGAAGAAGAAGCACAUUGUUGCUGUGGUAAAAUAGUUGUUCUGUGAGGG